AUCACCUCCAAGCGUGAGGACUCUCCCACCUGGCCUCUCUGCCUCCCAGCUGUGGAUGUGGAGCGGGGGAGUUCCAGGGUCAGGAUCUUUGCAUAGGUCCUGCAUGGGUUCCUCUUUGAUGAUUCAUCUAUGACAGAGUGAGGAAGAUGGGCCCUGAGCUAACAUCUAUUGCCAAUCCUCCUCUUUUUGCUUGAGAAAGAUUGUCCCUGAGCUAACAUCCAUGCCAGUUUUCCUCUAUUUUGUUUCUGGGAUACUGCCACAGCAUGGCUUGAUGAAGAGAUGGACAGAGAGAUCCCAAUUCACACCUGGGAUCCAAAACUGCGGACCCUGGGCUGCUGAGCAGAGUGCACAAACUUAUCCUCUACGCUGCCAGGACAGCCACUAUUUAUGUUCUCCUUAAUUUCUUUCAGUAAUGUUUUGUAGUUUUCAUUGUGCAAGUCUUUCACAUUCUUGGUAGUUAAUUUCUAAGUAUUUUAUUCUUUUUUGAUGCUAUUGUAAAUGGAAUUGUUUUUGUCAUUUCCUCUUCAGAUAGUUCAUUGUUUGUGUGUAGAAAUGAAACAGAUUUUUGUAUGUUGACUUUGUAUCCUGCUACUUUGCUGAAUUCAUUUAUUAGUUGCAAUUUUUUUUUUUUUGGUGAGGUCUUUAGUGUUUUCUACAUAUAAGAUCAUAUCAUCUGCAAACAGAUAAUUCUACUUCUUCCUUUCCAAUUUGGAUUCCUUCUACUUUUUUCCUUGCUUAAUUGCUCUGGCUAGAACUUCCAGUACUAUGUUAAAUAGAAAGUGAAAGGUGAAAGUGAGCAUUUUUGCCUUGUUCCUGAUCUUAGAGGAAAAGCUUUCAGUCUUUCACCAUUGAGUAUGAUGGUUGCUGCGGGUUUUUACACAUGGCUUUUAUUAUGUUGAGAGAGUUCCUUCCACUCCUAUUUUGUUGAGUGUUUUUAUCCUGAAACAGUGUUGAAUUUUGUCAAAUGCUUUUUCCACAUCAAUUGAGAUAAUCUUGUUUUUUAAAAUUCCUUUUGUUGAUGUGUAUGACAUGGAUUGAUUUUCCUAUGUUGAACCAUCCUUGCAUUCCAGGAAUAAAUCUCACUUUCU
RNAcentral lists this long non-coding RNA (1088 nucleotides) under Equus caballus (horse). Its description in RNAcentral is "lncRNA (ENSECAG00000054949.1)". The record is from RNAcentral. Lineage: Eukaryota; Metazoa; Chordata; Mammalia; Perissodactyla; Equidae.